RNAcentral lists this microRNA (24 nucleotides) under Caenorhabditis briggsae. RNAcentral's name for it is "Cbr-Mir-248-v1_3p (mature (guide))". The record is from RNAcentral. Lineage: Eukaryota; Metazoa; Nematoda; Chromadorea; Rhabditida; Rhabditidae.
GUACACGUGCUCGGAUAACGCUCA